CCUACGGGUGGCAGCAGUGGGGGAUAUUGCACAAUGGGGGGAACACUGAUGCAGCGACGCCGCGUGGGUGAAGAAGCGCCUCGGCGCGUAAAGCCCUGUCAGCAGGGACGAACAUGACGGUACCUGACGAAGUAGCCCCGGCUAACUACGUGCCAGCAGCCGCGGUCAUAAGUAGGGGGCAAGCGUUAUCCGGAUUUACUGGGUGUAAAGGGGGCGCAGACGGGGAUGCAAGCCAGGAGGGAAAGCCCGGGGCCCAACCCCGGGACUGCUCUUGGAACUGCGUGGCUUGAGUGCAGGAGGGGCAGGCGGAAUUCCUGGUGUAGCGGUGAAAUGCGUAGAUAUCAGGAGGAACACCGGUGGCGAAGGCGGCCUACUGGACUGCAACUGACGUUGAGGCCCGAAAGCGUGGGGAGCAAACAGGAUUAGAUACCCCAGUAGUC
This 440-nucleotide ribosomal RNA is filed under the name uncultured bacterium. RNAcentral describes it as "partial 16S ribosomal RNA". It matches the Rfam family "Bacterial small subunit ribosomal RNA", at positions 338 to 795 of the family's 1533-position model. The record is from RNAcentral.